Molecule: unclassified non-coding RNA, 400 nt
Filed under: soil metagenome
Description: partial contains 5.8S ribosomal RNA, internal transcribed spacer 2, and large subunit ribosomal RNA
Rfam family: 5.8S ribosomal RNA (bases 1-122)
Source: RNAcentral
GAUGGAGAACGUAGCGAAAUGCGAUACUUGGUGUGAAUUGCAGAAUCCCGUGAACCAUCGAGUCUUUGAACGCAAGUUGCGCCUCAAGCCAUUAGGUUGAGGGCACGUCUGCCUGGGCGUCACAUAUCGUUGCCUGAUGCCAGUUUCCUCGUGAUGGGUGACUGUGCAGGGCGAAUGAUGGCUUCCCGUGAGCAUUGUUGCCUCAUGGUUGGUUGAAAAUUGAGUCCUUGGUAGGGAGCGCCGUGAUAGAUGGUGGUUGAGUGACGAACGAGACCCAAUCAUGUGAGACCCCUACCGAAUUUGGCCUUCAUGACCCACAUGCGUCUUUGGAACGCUCAUGACGAGACCUCAGGUCAGGCGGGGCUACCCGCUGAGUUUAAGCAUAUCAAUAAGCGGAGGA